AGAGUUUGAUCAUGGCUCAGAGUGAACGCUGGCGGCAGGCCUAACACAUGCAAGUCGAGCGGCAGCGCGGAUGUAGCAAUACAUCUGGCGGCGAGCGGCGGACGGGUGAGGAAUGCGUCGGAAUCUGCCUAUUUGUGGGGGAUAACGUAGGGAAACUUACGCUAAUACCGCAUACGACCUACGGGUGAAAGUGGGGGACCGCAAGGCCUCACGCAGAUAGAUGAGCCGACGCCGGAUUAGCUAGUUGGCGGGGUAAAGGCCCACCAAGGCGACGAUCCGUAGCUGGUCUGAGAGGACGGCCAGCCACACGGGGACUGAGACACGGCCCCGACUCCUACGGGAGGCAGCAGCGAGGAAUCUUGGGCAAUGGGCGCAAGCCUGACCCAGCGACGCCGCGUGGGGGAUGACGGCCCUUGGGUUGUAAACCUCUUUCAGCAGGGAAGAAGCGAAAGUGACGGUACCUGCAGAAGAAGCGCCGGCUAACUACGUGCCAGCAGCGGCGGUAAUAC
Molecule: ribosomal RNA, 509 nt
Filed under: uncultured bacterium
Lineage: Bacteria
Description: bacterial SSU rRNA
Rfam family: Bacterial small subunit ribosomal RNA
Source: RNAcentral